This is a long non-coding RNA of Bos taurus (domestic cattle), 1679 nucleotides long. The record is from Ensembl. Lineage: Eukaryota; Metazoa; Chordata; Mammalia; Artiodactyla; Bovidae.
GAGCGGUCACCUUCCCGGAGUCGAGUCGCGGCUCCCUGACUCCAGCGGCAGGCGGGAUGUCCUGCUUCCCUCAGGGCCAGCACCGUAUCAUUCACUCGGUACUGCCAGCACCAUUCACCGUGCCAACGACAACAGCUCCCGGGGGCGGGCAGGGCAAGAGGGGGAGGGAAACACAUCCAUCGUAUGUAUUCAUUCACCGGGCAAUUGCUGAUUCCCACCCCACUCACUGGGCUGCCCCCACAUGGGGCCUUAAAUCCGGACAGGCUGAGAACAGAAGCAGGCCUCUGGGGGCCAUGUUUGCUGUGCUGAGUGGACGCUCAGGCGCCAGCCGGACCUGCUCUAGAUGACCUCAGCGCAGAGUCCCCGGUCCUCCUUGGGUCAGUGGUCCUCCCACUGGCUACGUGGCAGGAUCCCCCAAGGGCUGUGACUGACAUCACCACUGACUGAUGUCAGGACGGGCAGGUGGAGCCUGGGUGUCCACCUCCUUCCCACACGCAUGGGGCUUCAGGAGCAGCCACAGCUGAGAGCCGUCCUGCUGGCCAGAGUGCUGGUUCAGCCUUAGAGGAGGCUGGAGGGGGCUUCAUCAUUAGAGCACGUGCCUGGAUGGGGAGAGGAAGGCCUUACACACACAGAGGCUUCCUCUGACUGGCAUGGGGGCUGCGCGGACAUGCAGAUGUCCCUUCAGUAGAGUCAGUGCUGGAAGAGGGAGGGGUGAGUUGGUAGAAGGAAGGAUGGACAGAUGACAGAUGAGUGGAUGGACAGGUGAGUGGACAGAAGAUGGAUGAGUGGAUGGGUAGAUGGAUGGAUGAUUGGAUGGAUGAAGAGAUGAUGGAUAAUGGAUGGAUGGGUUGAUGAAUGGAUGAGUGGAUGGAUGGGAGGAUGGACGGGUGUAUGGGUGAAUUGGUGGAUGGAUGGAUAGAUGAUGGAUGAGUGGAUGGACAAGUGGAUGUGUGGGUGGACUGAUGGAUGGAUGAGUGGGAGGAUGGGUGGACAGGUGGAUGGUUGGGUGAAUGGCUGGCUGGAUGGAUGGAUGAUGGAUGGAUGGAUGGGUGGGUGGAUAGAUGGGUGAAUGGAUAGGCAGAUGGACGGAUGGAUGGAAGAUGGAGGAUAGGAAAUAAAUGAUCAUCACCCUUUGCUAGAAGAUUGUUGAGAAGCGUAAGACAGAAUCCCUUACCUUACAAUACAUUAUAAAACCUUAACUUUUAAGAAUCUGUAAAAUCUAUGGCUUACAGAGGCAGCAGGGGACACCGCGGUCGGUUUGGGGAGUGGGGAGGCCGAUAACCCCCACUGAGCAGGUGUGUGCUGCUGGCCUGGGACCUGGGCCGACCCACAGAAGCCCCCUCCCAUCUCCCUCAUCCUGACCCUGUCCUCACCCUGCCUCCACUGUCCUGAGGAACAGCCCGCACUCACAGAUGCUUGACUGCUGCUCGAGCUUGUGCAGCCAGGAGAUGGAGGGGCUGGACCCGAGCUCAUCCGUGUCUGGGUGCAGGACCAGCGUUCUGAACACAGGGGACAAGGGCCCAGGGCUUGGCAGGCGUGAGGAGGCAGAGAGAAGUUCAAAAUGCGUUGUAGAGCAGCAGAGAGAACUCGCAACAUCAGCAACGCGCUUGGCCCAGGAGCUGCCAGUGCAGGGGUGUGUCAGGAAGUUUGGCGAAGGAGAUGAGAGUCUUGGCAAGGAG